Long non-coding RNA from Gallus gallus (chicken), 1534 nucleotides. The record is from Ensembl. Lineage: Eukaryota; Metazoa; Chordata; Aves; Galliformes; Phasianidae.
AGCUCCAUCAGGUGCUCAGAACCCUGUCCAGCCUGACCUGGAGUGUCUCCAGUUCUCUUUGUGUAGCUGAUGCUACAAGACACAUCGCUGGGAGAAUGAUAAUAGGAAGACUGAGAAAACACUCAGAAUCACGUAGUCCUUGGUUCUAUGGUGUAGCAUUUGCCUCCGCUUACUCUAUAAGAGAUUCCUUCAAGAAGGGCAAUUCUAAAAGACCUACUUAAACAAUUCCUACUAUGACUCUUGUUACUAUACCCAAAAUGUCUUACUCUGAUGUCAUGAUAGAUAAAACGUCAUCAAUACUGUGUAAUAUUUAAGACGUUCCAAAGGUGUGAAAGGCAUGUUAAUACCAGUCUACUUAGCCGAUAGCUCUUCCAAGUCUUCCAAAACAGACCAACUUCGGUGUUGAACUCUACAGACUUAUUUCAUAAUAGGACCCUUGAAAGCAAAGGCAGGACUAUUCUGCAGAACGAGGAGAGGGUUCCAGCAGAACCCACACAGAGAAGUACACCAGGGUGACCUCUAUGCUCUGUUACAUCUGAUGUCAAAUGGGUUUGCAUGUAAAUUAUUUUAAGAAGCAAUAACAGAUUAUAAAUUAACUCUGAGAUUAUUGAGCCAUUCAUUUGUGCAAAUCCUUUGAUUUCUCUUACGUAAGCAUAUACCCUGCAGUUGUCCAAAUUAUAUGUAAUAUUCUCAAGUUCACUUGCAUUAAAAUAUAGCCAUUGGUUGAAUCUCCAGUUUCUGUGAGCUGGUUAGAAGCAGUGGGAUGAGGUCUGGUGUCACCGAGAUGGAUGAUCCUUGGCGUCCUUUCAUCACAUGGGAUAUGGCACAUUGUCUAGCGCACUGCCAAGUCAUCAGUUCUGUCAGAAGAUGAAGGACUCUAGUCAGAAAAGGACUGCCAGAUUUCUGCAGCAUUUGAUUCUGUAUUUUGUCCCUAGCAGAGCCACUCCGUUUCCAGUAUUUGUUGAUGGAAUGUUUGGCAGCCCUGGGAGAAACAACCGCAGCACAUUUGACAUUCACAAAAUCUUUAUCAACGUAGGGUUUGUAGCUAAAAGAAGUGAGAAAUGAUCUGCUGCUGAGUGUCCCUAAGCAAAACAAUGAGGUACAUGUAUUGCUGCUCAGGAUAGCAUCUGCAUGAUAUCUGCUAUGGACUUUUCCAUUGUUUCCUUGUUCUCUGGAUACCGUAGGCACUUCAGAGUUCUCUUCAUUGCAGCCUCAGGGUGUUGUGGGAGGAUGGCAAAUACAUGAAGAACAGCACCAAGUAUUAUUUUUGUAUUAUCUUAACCUUAUUAAAAGACAUAAUACAAAAUGACAGUCAGAUAAAUGUUCAUUCAUUACCUAUGAAGUUUAGAAGCAAUAAAUAAUAGUUUCAAGGUAUUAUCCAGUUGACUAUGAAAUUAAUUUGUGUAAAGUUUUAUAAUUUAUAUAAACUUCUAUGUGUUUAUUAUUUUUAUGAAAAGGCACUUAUUUUUUAUGUUGGAUUUACCUACAUUAUUCUCCAAUAAUUGAUUAUUUGGAGAAAUAAAAAAGAGUGCAC